Molecule: ribosomal RNA, 253 nt
Filed under: uncultured bacterium
Lineage: Bacteria
Description: partial 16S ribosomal RNA
Rfam family: Bacterial small subunit ribosomal RNA
Source: RNAcentral
UACGUAGGGUGCAAGCGUUGUCCGGAAUUAUUGGGCGUAAAGAGCUCGUAGGCGGUCUGUCGCGUCGGCUGUGAAAACCCGGGGCUCAACCCCGGGCCUGCAGUCGAUACGGGCAGACUAGAGUGCGGUAGGGGAGACUGGAAUUCCUGGUGUAGCGGUGAAAUGCGCAGAUAUCGGGAGGAACACCGGUGGCGAAGGCGGGUCUCUGGGCCGUAACUGACGCUGAGGAGCGAAAGCGUGGGGAGCGAACAGG